Molecule: ribosomal RNA, 301 nt
Filed under: uncultured bacterium
Lineage: Bacteria
Description: partial 16S ribosomal RNA
Rfam family: Bacterial small subunit ribosomal RNA
Source: RNAcentral
CAGUCGCCGCGGUAAUACAGAGGAUGCAAGCGUUAUCCGGAAUGAUUGGGCGUAAAGCGUCCGUAGGUGGCUUUUCAAGUCCGCCGUCAAAUCCCAGGGCUCAACCCUGGACAGGCGGUGGAGACUACCAAGCUGGAGUACGGUAGGGGCAGAGGGAAUUUCCGGUGGAGCGAUGAAAUGCGUAGAGAUGUGGAGGAACACCAGUGGCGAAGGCGACUCUCUGGUCUGUAACUGACGCUGAGGAGCGAAAGCGUGGGGAGCGAACAGGAUUAGAUACCCCAGUAGUCCCUGUCUCUUAUAC